ACUGCAAACAACACGUGGACGCAGUGGCACACGUGCACACGUGUAGUAAAUGUAUGCUGAGCGCACGGUGGUCUCUUUAAUCCGUUUAUUUUCGCGACUUCGUGGAUCAUCAUUAAGAAAUUAGUCUGAAGAAUCGCUGAUGGCACACCUAGUUCCUACGUGAUGACAUUGAUGGAGAGGAAGUCAUUGAGAGAAGAUGAUGGAGCAAGGAGUGGCUAAUGAGACGGCAGCAUCAGUGGAGAGCGAAGAACCUGAGUACAUCUCUGACGAGUUUGGCCUCACAGAAAAUGAUGAAGAUGACUCUGAUGUUAGCUGUAACAUAGACAAUGAAGGUGUUAAAGAUAAUAGCAGCGUGGUUGGUCCCCUGCCUGUGG
This is a long non-coding RNA of Acanthaster planci (crown-of-thorns starfish), 374 nucleotides long. Lineage: Eukaryota; Metazoa; Echinodermata; Asteroidea; Valvatida; Acanthasteridae. The record is from RefSeq and is a predicted model, not a curated record.